ACGGGUGAGUAACGCGUGGGAACGUGCCUUCCGGUUCGGAAUAACCCUGGGAAACUAGGGCUAAUACCGGAUACGCCCUUACGGGGAAAGGUUUACUGCCGGAAGAUCGGCCCGCGUCUGAUUAGCUAGUUGGUGGGGUAACGGCCUACCAAGGCGACGAUCAGUAGCUGGUCUGAGAGGAUGAUCAGCCACACUGGGACUGAGACACGGCCCAGACUCCUACGGGAGGCAGCAGUGGGGAAUAUUGGACAAUGGGCGCAAGCCUGAUCCAGCCAUGCCGCGUGAGUGAUGAAGGCCUUAGGGUUGUAAAGCUCUUUUAUCCGGGACGAUAAUGACGGUACCGGAGGAAUAAGCCCCGGCUAACUUCGUGCCAGCAGCCGCGGUAAUACGAAGGGGGCUAGCGUUGCUCGGAAUCACUGGGCGUAAAGGGCGCGUAGGCGGCGUUUUAAGUCGGGGGUGAAAGCCUGUGGCUCAACCACAGAAUGGCCUUCGAUACUGGGACGCUUGAGUAUGGUAGAGGUUGGUGGAACUGCGAGUGUAGAGGUGAAAUUCGUAGA
This 557-nucleotide ribosomal RNA is filed under the name uncultured bacterium. RNAcentral describes it as "bacterial SSU rRNA". It matches the Rfam family "Bacterial small subunit ribosomal RNA", at positions 102 to 694 of the family's 1533-position model. The record is from RNAcentral.